Molecule: ribosomal RNA, 468 nt
Filed under: uncultured bacterium
Lineage: Bacteria
Description: partial 16S ribosomal RNA
Rfam family: Bacterial small subunit ribosomal RNA
Source: RNAcentral
GACGAACGCUGGCGGCGUGCUUAACACAUGCAAGUCGAACGGAAAGGCCCUGCUUUUGUGGGGUGCUCGAGUGGCGAACGGGUGAGUAACACGUGAGUAACCUGCCCUUGACUUUGGGAUAACUUCAGGAAACUGGGGCUAAUACCGGAUAGGAGCUCCUGCUGCAUGGUGGGGGUUGGAAAGUUUCGGCGGUUGGGGAUGGACUCGCGGCUUAUCAGCUUGUUGGUGGGGUAGUGGCUUACCAAGGCUUUGACGGGUGGCCGGCCUGAGAGGGUGACCGGCCACAUUGGGACUGAGAUACGGGCCAGACUGCUACGGGAGGCAGCAGUGGGGGUUAUUGCACAAUGGGCGGAAGCAGGAUGCAGCAACGCCGCGUGCGGGAUGACGGCCUUCGGGUUGUAAACCGCUUUCGCCUGUGACGAAGAGUGAGUGACGGUAAUGGGUAAAGAAGCACCGGCUAACUACGUG